RNAcentral lists this ribosomal RNA (253 nucleotides) under uncultured bacterium. Its description in RNAcentral is "partial 16S ribosomal RNA". It matches the Rfam family "Bacterial small subunit ribosomal RNA", at positions 524 to 776 of the family's 1533-position model. The record is from RNAcentral.
GACAGAGGGGGCAAGCGUUGUCCGGAGUUACUGGGCGUAAAGGGCGCGGAGGCGGUCUGCGGCGUCGGCGCUGAAAGCGCCCCGCUUAACGGGGCGAGGCGUGCCGAUACGCGCAGACUUGAGGCGAGCAGAGGGUGGUGGAAUUCCGGGUGGAGCGGUGAAAUGCGUAGAGAUCCGGAGGAACGCCAGUGGGGAAGCCGGCCACCUGGGCUCUUACUGACGCUGCGGCGCGACCGCGUGGGGAGCAAACCGG